This 326-nucleotide unclassified non-coding RNA is filed under the name Streptococcus uberis 0140J. RNAcentral's name for it is "T-box leader (RF00230) as predicted by Rfam". Lineage: Bacteria; Bacillati; Bacillota; Bacilli; Lactobacillales; Streptococcaceae. The record is from RNAcentral.
GAACAAGAAGUACUUGAUAUCAACGGUAUUGGUCAAGGAACCAUUGAUAAAUUAGUUGAAAACGGCGUUACAUUUAAAAAAUAAGCGAACGAAGAUUGCCUAAAAGGCGCUAAUCUGUUAGAAUAACAGUAAUCAGAGUCCUAAUGAGUUUGUCUGUUACAGGAAGCGGCAGUACUGAGAAACCCGCACAGAUGUCAAAAGGUGUUGCUGAGGUUUACAAUUGAAUUGAAAAAGAUGCACAUAUCAAUGGAUAUGUGAAUUUGGGUGGUACCGCGGAUAAGCAUAUUCGUCCCUGUCUAGCUAUGGCUAGAUAGGGAUUUUUAUUU